GUACUGAUGAAGAGUCUCAAAAUAGGACGAAACAGUUGUCCCGUAC
Trichobilharzia regenti is the source of this 46-nucleotide non-coding RNA. Lineage: Eukaryota; Metazoa; Platyhelminthes; Trematoda; Strigeidida; Schistosomatidae. The record is from Rfam.